This 670-nucleotide ribosomal RNA is filed under the name uncultured bacterium. Its description in RNAcentral is "bacterial SSU rRNA". It matches the Rfam family "Bacterial small subunit ribosomal RNA", at positions 9 to 653 of the family's 1533-position model. The record is from RNAcentral.
GAGUUUGAUCAUGGCUCAGAACAAACGCUGGCGGCGUGCAUAACACAUGCAAGUCUAACGGGAAUGUCGGCUUCGGCUGGCUAGUACCGUGGCGAACGGGUGAGUAACACGUGGGUAAUCUAACCUCGAGUUUGGGAUAACCUUGCGAAAGCGGGGCUAAUACCGAAUAAGACCACGCUCAGUUCGCUGAGUGCGGUAAAAGGCGGCCUCUUCUUGAAAGCUGUCACUUGAGGAUGAGCCCGCGGCCUAUUAGCUAGUUGGUGGGGUAAUGGCCUACCAAGGCAACGAUGGGUAGCCGGCCUGAGAGGGUGUACGGCCACACUGGCACUGAGAUACGGGCCAGACUCCUACGGGAGGCAGCAGUGGGGAAUUUUGCGCAAUGGGGGAAACCCUGACGCAGCAACGCCGCGUGAGUGAUGAAGGCCUUCGGGUCGUAAAGCUCUUUUAGUGGGGAAGAAUCCCACCCGGGCUAAUACCUCGGGUGUCUGACGGUACCCACAGAAAAAGUUCCGGCUAACUACGUGCCAGCAGCCGCGGUAAUACGUAGGGAGCAAGCGUUGUUCGGAAUUAUUGGGCGUAAAGAGCGCGUAGGCGGUUCGGUAAGUCUGACGUGAAAUCCCAGAGCUUAACUCUGGAACUGCGUUGGAUACUGCCGAGCUUGAGUGUGGGA